GAUGAACGCUGGCGGCGUGCCUAAUACAUGCAAGUCGAGCGAACAGACGAGGAGCUUACUCCUCUGACGUUAGCGGCGGACGGGUGAGUAACACGUGGAUAACCUACCUAUAAGACUGGGAUAACUUCGGGAAACCGGAGCUAAUACCGGAUAACAUGUUGAACCGCAUGGUUCAACAGUGAAAGACGGUCUUGCUGUCACUUAUAGAUGGAUCCGCGUCGCAUUAGCUAGUUGGUAAGGUAACGGCUUACCAAGGCAACGAUGCGUAGCCGACCUGAGAGGGUGAGCGGCCACACUGGAACUGAGACACGGUCCAGACUCCUACGGGAGGCAGCAGUAGGGAAUCUUCCGCAAUGGGCGAAAGCCUGACGGAGCAACGCCGCGUGAGUGAAGAAGGUCUUCGGAUCGUAAAACUCUGUUAUUAGGGAAGAACAAAUGUGUAAGUAACUAUGCACGUCUUGACGGUACCUAAUCAGAAAGCCACGGCUAACUACGUG
RNAcentral lists this ribosomal RNA (497 nucleotides) under uncultured bacterium. RNAcentral describes it as "partial 16S ribosomal RNA". It matches the Rfam family "Bacterial small subunit ribosomal RNA", at positions 28 to 507 of the family's 1533-position model. The record is from RNAcentral.